This 253-nucleotide ribosomal RNA is filed under the name uncultured bacterium. RNAcentral's name for it is "partial 16S ribosomal RNA". It matches the Rfam family "Bacterial small subunit ribosomal RNA", at positions 524 to 776 of the family's 1533-position model. The record is from RNAcentral.
UACGUAGGUCCCGAGCGUUGUCCGGAUUUAUUGGGCGUAAAGAGCUCGUAGGCGGUCUGUCGCGUCGGCUGUGAAAUCUCGGGGCUCAACCCCGAGCCUGCAGUCGAUACGGGCAGACUAGAGUGCUGUAGGGGAGACUGGAAUUCCUGGUGUAGCGGUGAAAUGCGCAGAUAUCAGGAGGAACACCGGUGGCGAAGGCGGGUCUCUGGGCAGUAACUGACGCUGAGGAGCGAAAGCGUGGGGAGCGAACAGG